CAGAACGAACGCUGGCGGCGCGUCUAAGCAUGCAAGUCGAACGGCAAGAGGUAGCAAUACCUCCUAGAGUGGCGGACUGGUGAGUAACACGUGGGUGACAUACCCUUCAGAUGGGGAUAGCUAUUAGAAAUAGUAGAUAAUACCGAAUACGAGCACAGGGGUUAGAGAUCUGUGAGGAAAGGAGCUAAGGCUCCGCUGAAGGAAUGGCCUGCGGCCCAUUAGCUAGUUGGUGAGGUAAGAGCCCACCAAGGCGAUGAUGGGUAUCCGGCCUUAGAGGGUGAACGGACACAUUGGGACUGAGAUACGGCCCAGACUCCUACGGGAGGCAGCAGCUAAGAAUAUUCCGCAAUGGACGAAAGUCUGACGGGGCGACGCCGCCGUGGAUGAAGAAGGCCGGAAGGUUGUAAAAUCCUUUUGAAACUGAAGAAUAAGCGUUGUAGGGAAUGACAGCGUGGUGACAGUAGGUUUUGAAUAAGCAACGGCUAAUUACGUGCCAGCCGCCGC
Molecule: ribosomal RNA, 504 nt
Filed under: uncultured bacterium
Lineage: Bacteria
Description: bacterial SSU rRNA
Rfam family: Bacterial small subunit ribosomal RNA
Source: RNAcentral